Molecule: ribosomal RNA, 489 nt
Filed under: uncultured bacterium
Lineage: Bacteria
Description: partial 16S ribosomal RNA
Rfam family: Bacterial small subunit ribosomal RNA
Source: RNAcentral
UUGAACGCUGGCGGCAUGCCUUACACAUGCAAGUCGAACGGCAGCAUGAUCUAGCUUGCUAGAUUGAUGGCGAGUGGCGAACGGGUGAGUAAUACAUCGGAACGUGCCCUGUAGUGGGGGAUAACUAGUCGAAAGAUUAGCUAAUACCGCAUACGACCUGAGGGUGAAAGUGGGGGACCGCAAGGCCUCAUGCUAUAGGAGCGGCCGAUGCCUGAUUAGCUAGUUGGUGAGGUAAAGGCUCACCAAGGCGACGAUCAGUAGCUGGUCUGAGAGGACGAUCAGCCACAGUGGGACGGAGAAACGGCCCAGACUCCGACGGGAGGCAGAAGGGGGGAUUUUUGGACAAUGGGCGAAACCUUGAUCAAGCAAUGCCGCGUGUGUGAAGAAGGCCUUGGGGUGUUAAAGCAUUUUGGUCGGGAAAGAAAUGUCUGUGGUUAAUACCGGGGGGCGAGGAGGGUACGGAAAGAAAAAGGCCGGGCUAACCAGGUC